ACACGACUACAUUAGAUACCCGGGUAGUCCUAGCCGUAAACGAUACUCGCUAGGUGUCGGCCACGGUGCGACCGUUGUCGGUGCCGUAGGGAAGCCGUGAAGCGAGCCACCUGGGAAGUACGGCCGCAAGGCUGAAACUUAAAGGAAUUGGUGGGGGAGCACAACAACGGGUGGAGCUUGCGGUUUAAUUGGAUUCAACGCCGGAAAUCUUACCGGGACCGACAGCAACAUGAAGGCCAAGCUGAAGACUUUGCCGGAUUAGCUG
RNAcentral lists this ribosomal RNA (265 nucleotides) under uncultured archaeon. Its description in RNAcentral is "partial 16S ribosomal RNA". It matches the Rfam family "Archaeal small subunit ribosomal RNA", at positions 717 to 982 of the family's 1478-position model. The record is from RNAcentral.